This 305-nucleotide ribosomal RNA is filed under the name uncultured bacterium. RNAcentral describes it as "bacterial SSU rRNA". It matches the Rfam family "Bacterial small subunit ribosomal RNA", at positions 335 to 658 of the family's 1533-position model. The record is from RNAcentral.
GCCCUACGGGAGGCAGCAGUGGGGAAUAUUGCACAAUGGGGGAAACCCUGAUGCAGCGACGCCGCGUGAAGGAAGAAGUAUUACGGUAUGUAAACUUCUAUCAGCAGGGAAGAAAAUGACGGUACCUGACUAAGAAGCCCCGGCUAACUACGUGCCAGCAGCCGCGGUAAUACGUAGGGGGCAAGCGUUAUCCGGAUUUACUGGGUGUAAAGGGAGCGUAGGCGGUGCAGCAAGUCAGAAGUGAAAGCCCGGGGCUCAACUCCGGGACUGCUUUUGAAACUGUUGGACUAGAUUGCAGGAGAGGG